GGUGAGUAACGCGUGAGUAACCUGCCUUUCAGAGGGGGAUAACGUUCUGAAAAGAACGCUAAUACCGCAUGAGACUACAGAGCUGCAUGGCUCAGUGGUCAAAGGAGCAAUCCGCUGAAAGAUGGACUCGCGUCCGAUUAGAUAGUAGGCGGGGUAACGGCCCACCUAGUCGACGAUCGGUAGCCGGACUGAGAGGUUGAACGGCCACAUUGGGACUGAGACACGGCCCAGACUCCUACGGGAGGCAGCAUG
Molecule: ribosomal RNA, 252 nt
Filed under: uncultured bacterium
Lineage: Bacteria
Description: partial 16S ribosomal RNA
Rfam family: Bacterial small subunit ribosomal RNA
Source: RNAcentral